CGUGUGUCCAAAAGAAAAUAGUAUUUCACCCUUUUGCAUCACCUCGUUUGUUCUAGAAACCCUCGCCGGCGCCGCCCAGUCAUGCUGCGCCGCUCCACUCGUGCUUCGUCGCCGGCAACUGGUGGGAUGGACACUGCGGGCAUGGAGUUUUUGCUUGACGCGGUUGACAGGUUCCCAAGAGAGGAAUUCGCUGACAGCCUUGAACAGCCGGAUCCGGUUUCGCUGCAUUACCUGAUAGGAAACAGGGCAGUGAAUGCAGAAACAGGUGAUUCUGAUGGUGGGUCUGGCAUGGCUCAAAAGGAUGGCGAGGAUGGGGCGGCUGUACCACGAGAAGGCGCCCGUUGGCGACAUGCUGCUUCACCGACGAGGUCAGCUUAGCCCACUGACAGAGUAAAUCCAGAGGCCCUGGGUUGACCAAAAGAGCUAUGGAAGUGGCGAUCAGCAAGACCUACCCUGGCACCAUGCACCGAUGGUGCAAGUGUCAUGUCCUGAAGAAAGCAAAAGAAACAUUGGGUCCACUGUACACGAAGAAGAGUGAUUUUCAGGCUGAAUUUCACAAGGUUGUGAACCACAUAUGUUAACUGAGGACGAGUAUGAAGCAGGUUGGGGAUUGUUGUUGGAUAAAUACAAUCUGGGGUCUCACACCUACAUGACCCAAAAUAUAUGAAACCAGGAGGAAAUGGGCAAAACCAUACUUCAGAGGUGUGUUUUGCGCGAAAAUGACAAGCACCCAGCGAAGUGAGAGCUCAAACCACGUGUUGAAAUCGUAUAUGCCCCCCUGCAAGCCCAAUGCAUGUUUUCAUUAGGCAAAACAUGAGGUUACAGUUUGACCGCGAGCGGGACGAAAGUUAUGAGGAGAAG
Long non-coding RNA from Triticum aestivum (bread wheat), 861 nucleotides. RefSeq lists it as uncharacterized. The transcript is spliced from 3 exons. The record is from RefSeq and is a predicted model, not a curated record. NCBI's taxonomy places the organism in Eukaryota, Viridiplantae, Streptophyta, Magnoliopsida, Poales, Poaceae.